RNAcentral lists this unclassified non-coding RNA (268 nucleotides) under plant metagenome. RNAcentral describes it as "partial contains 5.8S ribosomal RNA, internal transcribed spacer 2, and large subunit ribosomal RNA". The stretch from base 1 to 105 matches the Rfam family "5.8S ribosomal RNA", at positions 50 to 154 of the family's 154-position model. The record is from RNAcentral.
GAAAUGCGAUAAGUAAUGCGAAUUGCAGAAUUCAGUGAAUCAUCGAAUCUUUGAACGCACAUUGCGCCCCCCAGUACUCUGGGAGGCACGCCUGUCUGAGCGUCAUUUCAACCCUCGCGCCCCGGCCUCUGUGGCCCGGCGCGGUGUUGGGGAUCGGCCGCCCGCCAGCGGGAGGCCGGCCCCUAAAUCCAGUGGCGACCACGCCGUAAAACCCCCAACUUCUCAAGGUUGACCUCGAAUCAGGUAGGAAUACCCGCUGAACUUAAGC